UUUCUCCGUCCGUACGAUCAAGGAAAUCGAUCUCUACAGCUUUGAGCCCCGGGAGCUACCCUGUAAGUAAUCGUGCCAACCAAGUACUCCGCACGAUGUCUGUUUAAGAUUAAUUAGUUCAGUAACUAGAAUUCAGAAGUUAAUGGAAUAUUUUGUUGCGAUGCAGGCCAUUCUGACAUUCAGUCUGAGGAGGAAGUGUGGUACUUUUUCUGUGAGCCUUGUUACAAAAAUUCCGAGAGUAAACGGGUACAUAGAAGAACAAAGGAAGGCUACUGGAAAAAGACUGGCAGAGGCUCUAACAUCAACCGCAAAUACAAGACUGAGGUGAUUGGUACGAAGAAGUUUUUGUCUUUUUCCCGCGAUGAUGCUGCUGCCCAGAAAAAUAUGACUGAGUGGGUUAUACACGAGAUAGCUGUUGAAGAUAGCCCUGACUUUAAGGUAUUAGCCUCUGUUUUAGAACUGCAUAUGUGUUGUGAAAUAGUCUGUUUGUUUUCGUGAAAAAUAAUUGUAAAAUACUCUGUUCAUGUUAUUGCAGAAGGACUUUGUUGUGUGUCGCCUUGAAAGAAAACGGGAGAAGAAAACGCUUGGUGUUGUUUCCACUAAGAGGAAACGGGAGAAGACGCUUGGUGUUGUUUCCUCUAAGAGAAAACGGGACAAGAAGCUUGGUGUUUCCACCAGCGAUGGUGAUCAAUCUUGUCAAAAUUUGACUUCUAAAAGAAGUCACGUUGCAGAAGAUUCUAAUAGAAAUCAUGUUGCAGAAAAAGUAGAUUUGGUUUCUACUAGGAAUCAUGUUGCAGAAAAUAUUGUUUUGGUCCCUGAACCUCAGGUAAGGGACCAUUCGAUUUCUUGUUACAGAAAUCAUGUUGCAGAAAAUAUCGUCGAAGAUUCUGUUGAGGCAGAAACUCGACGGCUGGCAGAACUCAAUCGACGGGGUGAUGGCUAUGAUGGACGGAAUGACGCCUCUGUCUCGGCUGUGCAGUCAUCAGAUUAUCCAGAACAGGAAUCAUCAGAUUAUAAUGGUUCUAGUUGUGGUAGCGGUUUAUUGAAUUCUCAGUUGGACGGUGAGCAGGUCGGUGGCCAGUGCAAUUCACGGAGGGAUUUUCAGAAUGAAUACUCUCCUGAGGAAACUGGAGAGACCACUCCUGACUUCUUGACAUCGAAGUCAGAUGAAGGAGUUUACGUGGAGGAUGGCAGUGACGCGAACUCUGAAACCGAAUCCUUCAAUGAAUGGGUAAACAUGGUCUUUGACUAUCAAAUCCUCAAGGAGGAUAUUAGAUCAUUAUGAAUGUUGUAAUGUUGCUUCACUUAUGGUGUAUUGUAUUCCAAGCUUUGUAUUCUUUGAGAGUAGUUUUUACACCCAAGAGGUUGUUAAUUUUGUAAACUAAAGGCAAGGCAGCAGGUCCGAGAUCUUCUGGGUUGUCUCAGAAUUCAGAACUUAAUGAGGGGAUCAUGUUACUGUCCAGUAUGCUCAUAGAUUUUGCAAUGUUAUUGCCCAAUCUUUAGCUAAAUCAGCUCUAUAGAAAUGUGAAACUGUUGUUUUGGGCUCGUACCCUUCGCGACUUAUGUACCUAUUUUCUUCUUUGAAUUGAAAGCGUCUUUAUUCUCAGGAAAAAAAAGAUUGUAUUUUUUACAUAUUGGGAAUAUUAGAUAAGCAUGUAGUCUUGCUCAUCAAAGAAAUUUACUGAGUAACUGAAAUAGAAAAUAAAAGAUCCAUAAUCCAUUUAUAUAUGAUGUUAAAAUUUCUUGUGAUGGGAACCAUUUCAUUCAUGUAUGUAUGACACCUUUUUGUUGGCUUCUCUAACGAUCUCCGAGCAUCCUUGUAAAUAAUACAAAGAAGUUAGUCAAGCAGUUCAUUGUGGCUUUGAAGCUUAAAUAAUUUUCACAUAUUGAAAAGCAAAAACGAGAGAUAAAAUGAACCCCAUCCCAGAUGACUGAAGUUGCUCCUUCAGAAAGGUGACUUAUUUACUUUAAAGAAACAAGUAAUUAAGCAGAAACAAGAGCUAAAAAUGCGCAGAGCACUGCUUUUUUCAAUUUAUUGGAAUACAUAUAUAAAAGACUGUUUCUGGUACCCCAAGAUGGGUGAUGUACAACUACAGCUACUCUGCGCUCCUCAUAAUCAUUUUCCAAUGGUCUACGUAGAGUUACCGAUGGGCAUUUGAUCUAAUAGGAGAAGUCAUACACUUAUAAUGUUGAGUAUAAAAGUUAGAAGCUCCAUAAAAUUUGUAUAGAGGUUAAUUUCAGUACUCCCUCAAUUAUCAACAUAAUUGAGUGGAGACAGUCUCUCCCUUACGAAAUAUGAGUGGAGUAGGCACUCCUCGAAUAUUAGAGAGGGUUUAAAAUAUAUAGGUAAAUGCUUCAGUAUGUUAAUGUAUGGUGGUGGUCCCAGUUAAAUAGUAUGAUUAUAAAUAUUAAUUGUAAUAUCUGAUGUAAUGUCAAUAACAUCUGUAUAUAACAGACUUAAAAAAAAAUAGUCUACAUAGAGUUAAUCGAAAGCUAGUGAAAUGAUUUUGAAGAUAAAAUUGGUCAUUCCAGAUUUAUUAAAAUUGAUUCUGAAAACACAUUUCUGAAAGUACACUUUUGAAAACACAUUACUGAAAAUACAUUUUUUAAAAAGUGCUGACUAAUAUCCAAAGAAUUUUUUUUUUCAACGCUAAAAUAUAAAUACUGAGCUAACAAAACCGUAUUUUAAAACAGAUUUUUAGAAAUGAUAAAUGCUCAUUUAGUUCUUAUAUUUUAAUGUUGUGCUCAUAAUUUUAAAAAUAACUCAAAACAUCAUUAUUAAACUAUUGAUAUCCAUGCCUUUACAUUAUGUUUCUUUUAGCUUAUUUUUAUAAUAUUACCCUCUUAAAAUAAUUUUUUUAAAUAUUAAUGAAAAAUCAAAUUAUCAAUUUAACUCCAAAAAUAAAAUAAAAACAAAAAGAAUAUGUAAUUUUUUUGUGGAAACUCACCUAUGUUUAAAAAAAUUAAUCUUGUAAAAAAAUUAAAUUACCAAUUUUUUUGAACAUUAAUAAAAAAAAUUAUAUAUUAGCUCUUUAGUAAUAUAUUUAAAAAAAAUUAACAUAUAUAAUAUUUUUUAUUUUAUUUUUGGUUUAAUUUUUUUUAUUAAUGUCUACAAAAAUUACUGAAAGAGAAUAAUAUUAUAAAACUAAAUCAUAAGGAAUUAUUUCAAAAGAGAUAUUUAGAAAUCAGUCAAGACCGCUACCAAUUGAAUGAUCUUAACCUCUCUGCUCGAGGCGGAUUCUGGUAUAAGCUGAGUCAUCUGCCACAUUUUGCCACAUCAAAUUAAAUGUCCCUUGAGUCAUAUGCUGACGUGAAUUAUUGACUACUUGUGAAAGAAGUAGAAGCUUCUAGGCUCCAGCACUAUGCCUAGAUCAGGAAGUUAUGCUUGUUUUGGAGCUGUAGAUGGAUUUUAAUAGUGGUUUGUCAAGUUUCCAAUGACCUAAGAUGAGGGCUCUGUGUGAAAAUUUUCUAAUGAUUUUUUUUUUGUUUUUAUUGGUGUUUUAUGAUUUUAUUUUACUUUUUUAGUAUUUUGUAAGUUCAUUAAAUUCAUAGAUAUUUACUUUUGAUUUCUUCUAUUAUGAUCCGGUGAUAAUAUUGUGUUUUAUUUAUUAGCAUUAUGUUGAGGUUUUUCUCCAUUGGACUUUGUUUUUUUUUAACACUAAUUACACAUCCGAUUAUUAUAUUACAUAUAUUUAUAACUGUUAUUAUAGCAGACUUUACAUUGAUAUUUACAAUCAAAUAUAUAAUUUGGGACUUACAUUAUUAAUUUAAUUUUAUGAAAUACAUACCCAAGUAUAUGACCCUCACAGACAAAGGAUUUAUCUAUUUUACUCGCAUUUCGUAAGAGAGAAAGACUUACAAAUUAACUCUACAUAAUUUUUUAUUUAAUUGAGGAAAGUUGAACCUAUGAAGAUUCAAACUAUUACCCUCAUAAUUUUUUUAACUUUGAGAGUAGACUUACAAAUUAACUCUACAUAAUUUUUUAUUUAAUUGAGGAAAAUUGAGCUUAUGAAAAUUCAAAUCAUUACCCUCAUAAUUUUUUUUUUAACUUUGAGAGUAAUAAUUUAUCACUAAGCUAAAGUCUAAGUGGCGAUUGGACUUUGUUAGAUCUUAGUAUGUUGAAUUUUUUUCUUUCAAUUUUAAAGAAUUAAUAGUAUUGAUAGUUCACUUUUUGUAUGGCCAAAACUAUGUUGCCACAUAGGUUUCGUACUUUUUUUUUUUUUUUUUUUAUCUUUUUCAAGAUCACUUAUAGUAGAGUCCAUUUGUUUUUUUAAGAAAAAAGGCUAAAAACUUUUCUAUUUUCAGACAUUAGUCCUGCACCUCUAGUAAACAACAGGGACACUUAAUGUUAAUAACCUAAUAAAUACAUUUAAGCGUUAUACAACUCUAGUAUUAAAUCCAAAGUGGAUUUGAAAAAGACGAAAAAAAGGUACCAAACCCGUGAGUAACAUAGUUGGGCCACUUGGGCUUGUAGUCCAGUGGUGAACCAUUGCCCUCAAAGUUAAACAUGACUAUGAGGGCAAUGGUUCGAGUCCCCACGGACUCAACCUCCUUCAAUUAAAUAUAAUUGUGUGGAGACUUCUUAUAACGUCUUUCUUUCUUGCGAAAUGCGAGUGGAGUAGAAACAUCCCUCCUCCGUGAGAGGUAUUUGGAUAGACAUGUACUUCAUAAAAUAAAAAUGUAAUAGUAUAAGUCUCAUGUAUAUAUCGGAUUGUAAAUAUCAGUAUAAUAAUCUGCAGUCAUAAUAAUUGUAUAUAUUUUUGUGUAAUACAGUAACCUGAUGCUUAAUCAAUUCAAAAAAAAAAAAAACAUAGCUGGACCCCCUUUUUUUUAAUAUGUUGUUACUGCUGUCAUAAAAAUAUUAGACAUUCGUGUCUUAGGCUCUUCCACAAGAAAUUUAAGUGCUGUAUUUAAAUCCGAUUUAACCCAUUGUACUUAAACACAAUGUCACUUAUUAUUAUACUCUCCGCUAACUUUAUUUCUUUUAAUGAAAUUUAUUAAAAGCAUUAAAAGAACUACAGUUGUAAAAAAAAAUUAUCAAUUUCCUUUUUAAAAAAAAAAAUACUAUUCUACAUUUUACAAUACCCAGCAUUUCCACGAAUCCUUUUAGAUUUCACAGGUCAAAUUACAUUGAAGAAGCUCUUAGUCUCUUACUCUCUCACUCUUACUCUACGUUUCUCCAGCUGGGUGUUGAAUCAGAAAUUAAUGGACAGUCUCGUGGGGUUCAGAUUCCACCCAACUGAUGAAGAAAUCAUUCUUCUCCUGACGUUGAAGAGAUUUGACCCUGGUUUCUCUGUCCGUACGAUCAAGGAAAUUGAUUUGUACAGCUUUGAGCCUUGGGAGCUACCCUGUAAGUAAUCGUGCCAACGAGUACUCUGCAUGAUAUCUGUUUAAGUUAAUUAGUUUAGUAACUAAAAUUCAAAAGUUAAUGGAAUCUUUUGCUGCGAUGCAGGGCAUUCUGAGAUUCAGUCUGAGGAAGAAGUGUGGUACUUUUUCUGUGAGCCUUAUUACAAGUAUGCCAAGAGUAAACGGGCUAAUAGAAGGACAAAGGAAGGAUACUGGAAGAAGACUGGCAAUGGUUCAAAAAUCAAG
Molecule: long non-coding RNA, 5592 nt
Filed under: Citrus maxima (pomelo)
Lineage: Eukaryota; Viridiplantae; Streptophyta; Magnoliopsida; Sapindales; Rutaceae
Description: long non-coding RNA (CMAX_LNC002228)
Source: RNAcentral